Molecule: unclassified non-coding RNA, 2086 nt
Filed under: Cotesia glomerata
Lineage: Eukaryota; Metazoa; Arthropoda; Insecta; Hymenoptera; Braconidae
Description: protein ALP1-like, transcript variant X1
Source: RNAcentral
AAUAUUUAGUACUGAAUCUGUGUUGGCAAUUACAAUGAAAUUAAUAUCAAUCCAUGUUAUCCAAACAAUAUUGUUAAUGACACAGAUGAUAAAUUCAUACGUACUACAUGGAACUUCUGAUAUACCAAAUGCUAGUGAAAUGACAAGACAACAAAAUUUGCUUCCGAUUAAAGUAAAAAAAUCGGUAGUUGUAAAUAAGAAAAAUGACCUCUGGAACUUAGGGAUCAUUCAUUACGAAAUAGAUGAUAUUUUUACUGACUUCCAACGUAGAAUAAUAAAACAAGGUAUACGCAUGUGGGAAGAGUCCAGUUGGAUUCAAUUUAUCGAAAGAAAUCCGGAUGUCCAUCAAGAUUAUGUCGCCUUUACUAAAUUGGAUAUUUAAUAUUUCUGUUGCUCACUUGAUAAAAAAUAAGUGUAAUCAAAAAAAUUGUGUAAUUUGAUUUAAAAAUGCCAGGUGUUAUUACAUUGAAAACGACCAAAAAAACAAAGGCCGAAGUGAAUUGAGUUUAGCUGAUGGAUGUGAAGAAAUACAUAUUAUUCUUCAUGAACUGGGACACGUUUUGGGUUUUUACCAUGAACACCAACAUCCAGACCGCGACCAGUACAUUGAAAUCCUACAUAUGAACAUUCAGCCAGGUUAUCAAAGAGAAUUUGGGCGGUAUUCACGAGCGGAGGUUGAUACUUUAAGAUUUCCCUACGAUUAACAUUCUACGAUGCAUUAUUCAAAGAAUGUCUUUGCAUACUUCAAUUUUUUGAAUACGAUAGUUCUGAAACAAACUGUCAACGGCAAAGUACCAAAUAUUGGCAAUAAAAAAGUUCUCAGUGGCGGAGAUAUUGAAGCUGUUAAUAUUCUAUAUAAUUGUCCAAAUUCCAAUAACAAAUAACUUUAUUGGGGUCUAAUGUGCUUUUGUCGCUGCAAAUCCAUAUACAGAUCUAUACAAAUUUUCAAAGGAUAAAAACGGAAAGUUUAAUGGAAUUUAUAUGUCUCAAGAAUUUCUAUCUGGAUUUUAAUGGAAUUUGUAUGCCUAGAGAAUUUCUAUCUGGAUUUACCAAGAUGUACUAGAGCAAGUGGAUUCUAUUAGAAAAUCCAAUAACAUAGCGUAAUGAUAAAAAAUGUUUUCUGGUGGAGUGUCCAGUUUUAUGAUAACUUUAGUUUAAUAUGUUUUUAUCAGUAAAUUAACUCUAAGAGUAUCUUACGUCUACUUAUAUCAAUCGGACUAUCCCGAGUGAAUUUUUAUGCCAAGUCUAUAGUUAUACGACUGGAUAUACCUAGGUGAAGUUGUGGGCCUCUAUAUGAAAAACCAGUAUUAUAUUACAUUCACUUUUAUGUCUUUUCAUCUGUAAAAUACAAUUAAGACUGUCUUAUAACUAUGUGAUAUCAAAUGGAUUAUUCAGAUUGGACUUUUAUUUCAUGUCCAAUGUUAUGUAUCUGGAUAUAUUUGGAUGUAGCUGUAGGCCUUUAUAGGAAUAUUCGAUUUAAAAAUAAGAAUAUUUUAAAGUUUAAUGUUAUAUAUUUGGUUAUACCCAAGUGUAGCUGUGGGCCUUUACAGGAAUAUUCCAUACAGUAAUACAGAUAAUUCUAUUUAUUUUUAUCUGCAAAUAACUAUCAAAAGGACAUCAGAGCUACAUAAGAAAUUAUACCUAGGUGUAGUUGUGGACCUCUAUAUGAAAAACCAGUAUUAUAUUACAAUCACUUUUAUGUAUUUUCAUUUGUAAAAUACAAUUAAUAAUGUCUUAUAACUAAAUGGUAUCAAAUGGAUUAUUCAGAUUGGACUUUUAUUUCAAGUCCAAUGUUAUGUAUCUGGAUGUACUCAGAUGUAGCUAUAGGCCUGUAUAGGAAUAUCCGAUAUAAAAAUAAGAGUAUUUUAAUGUAUUUUUAUCUGUUUAAUGUUACAUAUUUGGAUACAUCCAGGUGUAGCUGUGGGCCUCUACAAGAACAUUCCAUACAGUAAUACAGAUAAUUCUAUAUAUUUUUAUCUGCAAAUAACUAUUGAAAGGACUUCAGAGCUAUAUAAGAAAUGGAUAAAUUCUUUUUCUUUUAAGGCUAAUUUCUCUUGAAGGACAGAUUGGAUAGAAUUAUCGCCAC